AUUGAACGCUGGCGGCAUGCCUUACACAUGCAAGUCGAACGGAAGCGCGGGCUUCGGCCUGGCGGCGAGUGGCGAACGGGUGAGUAAUGAAUCGGAACGUGCCCAGUAGUGGGGGAUAGCCCAGCGUAAGCCGGAUUAAUAUCACAUACGACCAGAGGGUGAAAGCGGGGGAUCGAAAGGCCUCGCGCUAUUGGAGCGGCCGAUGCCGGAUUAGCUAGUUGGUGUGGUAAAGGCUUACGAAGGCGACGAACCGUAGCCGAUCUGAGAGGCCGACCAGCCACACUGGAACUGAGACACGGCCCAGACUCCUACGGGAGGCAGCAGUGGGGAAUUUUGGACAAUGGGCGCAACCCUGAUCGAGCCAUGCCGCGUGCGUGAAGAAGGCCUUCGGAUUGUAAAACGCUGUUGUUCGGGAAGAAAAUCUGUGGGCGAAUACCCCGGGGGGAUGACGGUACCGGAAGAGUAAGCACCGGCUAACUACGUG
Molecule: ribosomal RNA, 484 nt
Filed under: uncultured bacterium
Lineage: Bacteria
Description: partial 16S ribosomal RNA
Rfam family: Bacterial small subunit ribosomal RNA
Source: RNAcentral